GACGAACGCUGGCGGCGUGCUUAACACAUGCAAGUCGAACGGAAAGGCCCUGCUUUUGUGGGGUGCUCGAGUGGCGAACGGGUGAGUUACACGUGAGUAACCUGCCCUUGACUUUGGGAUAACUUCAGGAAACUGGGGCUAAUACCGGAUAGGAGCUCCUGCUGCAUGGUGGGGGUUGGAAAGUUUCGGCGGUUGGGGAUGGACUCGCGGCUUAUCAGCUUGUUGGUGGGGUAGUGGCUUACCAAGGCUUUGACGGGUAGCCGGCCUGAGAGGGUGACCGGCCACAUUGGGACUGAGAUACGGCCCAGACUCCUACGGGAGGCAGCAGUGGGGAAUAUUGCACAAUGGGCGGAAGCCUGAUGCAGCAACGCCGCGUGCGGGAUGACGGCCUUCGGGUUGUAAACCGCUUUCGCCUGUGACGAAGCGUGAGUGACGGUAAUGGGUAAAGAAGCACCGGCUAACUACGUGCCAGCAACCGCGGUGAUACGUACGGUGCGAGCGUUGUCCGGAUUUAUUGGGCGUAAAGGGCUCGUAGGUGGUUGAUCGCGUCGGAAGUGUAAUCUUGGGGCUUAACCCUGAGCGUGCUUUCGAUACGGGUUGACUUGAGGAAGGUAGGGGAGAAUGGAAUUCCUGGUGGAGCGGUGGAAUGCGCAGAUAUCAGGAGGAACACCAGUGGCGAAGGCGGUUCUCUGGGCCCUUCCUGACGCUGAGGAGCGAAAGCGUGGGGAGCGAACAGGCUUAGAUACCCUGGUAGUCCACGCUGUAAACGGUGGGUACUAGGUGUGGGGUCCAUUCCACGGGUUCCGUGCCGUAGCUAACGCUUUAAGUACCCCGCCUGGGGAGUACGGCCGCAAGGCUAAAACUCAAAGGAAUUGACGGGGCCCCGCACAAGCGGCGGAGCAUGCGGAUUAAUUCGAUGCAACGCGUAGAACCUUACCUGGGUUUGACAUGGAUCGGGAGUGCUCAGAGAUGGGUGUGCCUCUUUUGGGGUCGGUUCACAGGUGGUGCAUGGCUGUCGUCAGCUCGUGUCGUGAGAUGUUGGGUUAAGUCCCGCAACGAGCGCAACCCUUGUUCACUGUUGCCAGCACGUUAUGGUGGGGACUCAGUGGAGACCGCCGGGGUCAACUCGGAGGAAGGUGGGGAUGACGUCAAGUCAUCAUGCCCCUUAUGUCCAGGGCUUCACGCAUGCUACAAUGGCUGGUACAGAGAGUGGCGAGCCUGUGAGGGUGAGCGAAUCUCGGAAAGCCGGUCUCAGUUCGGAUUGGGGUCUGCAACUCGACCUCAUGAAGUCGGAGUCGCUAGUAAUCGCAGAUCAGCAACGCUGCGGUGAAUACGUUCCCGGG
Molecule: ribosomal RNA, 1343 nt
Filed under: uncultured bacterium
Lineage: Bacteria
Description: 16S ribosomal RNA
Rfam family: Bacterial small subunit ribosomal RNA
Source: RNAcentral